This 497-nucleotide ribosomal RNA is filed under the name uncultured bacterium. Its description in RNAcentral is "partial 16S ribosomal RNA". It matches the Rfam family "Bacterial small subunit ribosomal RNA", at positions 28 to 507 of the family's 1533-position model. The record is from RNAcentral.
GAUGAACGCUGGCGGCGUGCCUAAUACAUGCAAGUAGAACGCUGAAGCUUGGUGCUUGCACCGAGCGGAUGAGUUGCGAACGGGUGAGUAACGCGUAGGUAACCUGCCUCUUAGCGGGGGAUAACUAUUGGAAACGAUAGCUAAUACCGCAUAAAAGUCGAUAUCGCAUGAUAUUGAUUUGAAAGGUGCAAAUGCAUCACUAAGAGGUGGACCUGCGUUGCAUUAGCUAGUUGGUGAGGUAACGGCUCACCAAGGCGACGAUACAUAGCCGACCUGAGAGGGUGAUCGGCCACACUGGGACUGGGACACGGCCCAGACUCCUACGGGAGGCAGCAGUAGGGAAUCUUCGGCAAUGGGGGCAACCCUGACCGAGCAACGCCGCGUGAGUGAAGAAGGUUUUCGGAUCGUAAAGCUCUGUUGUAAGAGAAGAACGAGUGUGAGAGUGGAAAGUUCACACUGUGACGGUAACUUACCAGAAAGGGACGGCUAACUACGUG